RNAcentral lists this ribosomal RNA (467 nucleotides) under uncultured bacterium. RNAcentral describes it as "partial 16S ribosomal RNA". It matches the Rfam family "Bacterial small subunit ribosomal RNA", at positions 28 to 507 of the family's 1533-position model. The record is from RNAcentral.
GACGAACGCUGGCGGCGUGCUUAACACAUGCAAGUCGAACGGAAAGGCCCUGCUUUUGUGGGGUGCUCGAGUGGCGAACGGGUGAGUAACACGUGAGUAACCUGCCCUUGACUUUGGGAUAACUUCAGGAAACUGGGGCUAAUACCGGAUAGGAGCUCCUGCUGCAUGGUGGGGGUUGGAAAGUUUCGGCGGUUGGGGAUGGACUCGCGGCUUAUCAGCUUGUUGGUGGGGUAGUGGCUUACCAAGGCUUUGACGGGUAGCCGGCCUGAGAGGGUGACCGGCAACAUUGGGAUAGAGAUACGGCCAGACUCCUACGGGAGGCAGCAGUGGGGAAUAUUGCACAAUGGGCGGAAGCCUGAUGCAGCAACGCCGCGUGCGGGAUGACGGCCUUCGGGUUGUAAACCGCUUUCGCCUGUGACGAAGCGUGAGUGACGGUAAUGGGUAAAGAAGCACCGGCUAACUACGUG